This 440-nucleotide ribosomal RNA is filed under the name uncultured bacterium. RNAcentral's name for it is "partial 16S ribosomal RNA". It matches the Rfam family "Bacterial small subunit ribosomal RNA", at positions 338 to 795 of the family's 1533-position model. The record is from RNAcentral.
CCUACGGGUGGCUGCAGUGGGGAAUAUUGCACAAUGGGGGAAACCCUGAUGCAGCGACGCCGCGUGAGUGAAGAAGUAUUUCGGUACGUAAAGCUCUAUCAGCAGGGAAGAAAAUGACGGUACCUGACUAAGAAGCCCCGGCUAACUACGUGCCAGCAGCCGCGGUAAUACGUAGGGGGCAAGCGUUAUCCGGAUUUACUGGGUGUAAAGGGAGCGUAGACGGCAGCGCAAGUCUGGAGUGAAAUCCGGAGGCUCAACCUCCGAAUUGCAUUUGAAACUGUUUUUCUUGAGUACUGGAGAGGCAGACGGAAUUCCUUGUGUAGCGGUGAAAUGCGUAGAUAUAAGGAGGAACACCAGUGGCGAAGGCGGUCUGCUGGACAGCAACUGACGGUGAGGCGCGAAAGCGUGGGGAGCAAACAGGAUUAGAUACCCGAGUAGUC